This 1554-nucleotide ribosomal RNA is filed under the name Escherichia coli. RNAcentral describes it as "bacterial SSU rRNA". It matches the Rfam family "Bacterial small subunit ribosomal RNA". Lineage: Bacteria; Pseudomonadati; Pseudomonadota; Gammaproteobacteria; Enterobacterales; Enterobacteriaceae. The record is from RNAcentral.
AAAUUGAAGAGUUUGAUCAUGGCUCAGAUUGAACGCUGGCGGCAGGCCUAACACAUGCAAGUCGAACGGUAACAGGAAGAAGCUUGCUUCUUUGCUGACGAGUGGCGGACGGGUGAGUAAUGUCUGGGAAGCUGCCUGAUGGAGGGGGAUAACUACUGGAAACGGUAGCUAAUACCGCAUAACGUCGCAAGACCAAAGAGGGGGACCUUCGGGCCUCUUGCCAUCGGAUGUGCCCAGAUGGGAUUAGCUUGUUGGUGGGGUAACGGCUCACCAAGGCGACGAUCCCUAGCUGGUCUGAGAGGAUGACCAGCCACACUGGAACUGAGACACGGUCCAGACUCCUACGGGAGGCAGCAGUGGGGAAUAUUGCACAAUGGGCGCAAGCCUGAUGCAGCCAUGCCGCGUGUAUGAAGAAGGCCUUCGGGUUGUAAAGUACUUUCAGCGGGGAGGAAGGGAGUAAAGUUAAUACCUUUGCUCAUUGACGUUACCCGCAGAAGAAGCACCGGCUAACUCCGUGCCAGCAGCCGCGGUAAUACGGAGGGUGCAAGCGUUAAUCGGAAUUACUGGGCGUAAAGCGCACGCAGGCGGUUUGUUAAGUCAGAUGUGAAAUCCCCGGGCUCAACCUGGGAACUGCAUCUGAUACUGGCAAGCUUGAGUCUCGUAGAGGGGGGUAGAAUUCCAGGUGUAGCGGUGAAAUGCGUAGAGAUCUGGAGGAAUACCGGUGGCGAAGGCGGCCCCCUGGACGAAGACUGACGCUCAGGUGCGAAAGCGUGGGGAGCAAACAGGAUUAGAUACCCUGGUAGUCCACGCCGUAAACGAUGUCGACUUGGAGGUUGUGCCCUUGAGGCGUGGCUUCCGGAGCUAACGCGUUAAGUCGACCGCCUGGGGAGUACGGCCGCAAGGUUAAAACUCAAAUGAAUUGACGGGGGCCCGCACAAGCGGUGGAGCAUGUGGUUUAAUUCGAUGCAACGCGAAGAACCUUACCUGGUCUUGACAUCCACGGAAGUUUUCAGAGAUGAGAAUGUGCCUUCGGGAACCGUGAGACAGGUGCUGCAUGGCUGUCGUCAGCUCGUGUUGUGAAAUGUUGGGUUAAGUCCCGCAACGAGCGCAACCCUUAUCCUUUGUUGCCAGCGGUCCGGCCGGGAACUCAAAGGAGACUGCCAGUGAUAAACUGGAGGAAGGUGGGGAUGACGUCAAGUCAUCAUGGCCCUUACGACCAGGGCUACACACGUGCUACAAUGGCGCAUACAAAGAGAAGCGACCUCGCGAGAGCAAGCGGACCUCAUAAAGUGCGUCGUAGUCCGGAUUGGAGUCUGCAACUCGACUCCAUGAAGUCGGAAUCGCUAGUAAUCGUGGAUCAGAAUGCCACGGUGAAUACGUUCCCGGGCCUUGUACACACCGCCCGUCACACCAUGGGAGUGGGUUGCAAAAGAAGUAGGUAGCUUAACCUUCGGGAGGGCGCUUACCACUUUGUGAUUCAUGACUGGGGUGAAGUCGUAACAAGGUAACCGUAGGGGAACCUGCGGUUGGAUCACCUCCUUACCUUAAAGAAGC